UCUUUUUGGGAAAAUUAAAAAGUCAAAUCUGCCCACUGAUAUUAUUAAAGGGCCGCAGUAAUUUGACUGUGCAAAGGUAGCAUAAUCAAUAGUUUUUUAAUUGAAGACUCGAAUGAAUGAUUUAACAAGAAAUUAACUUUCUUUAUUUUUAAUUUAUAAAUUGAAAUUUAAGUGAAAAUGCUUAUGUUUUUAUAUUAGACGAGAAGACCCUAUAGAUCUUUAUUUUUAAUGGUAAUUUUAUUUUAUGUUAAUUUAAUUUAAAUUUAUUAUAAAAAUUUAAUUGGGGUGAUUUUGUAAUAAAUUAAACUUACAUAUUUAAUAUGAACAUGUUUAUUUGAAUUUUUUGAUCUAUUAUUAAUGAGAGUUAGAGUAAGUUACCUUAGGGAUAACAGCGUAAUUUAAUUUAAGAGUUCAUAUCUACAAUUAAGAUUGCGACCUCGAUGUUGAAUUAAGAAUAUUUAUAGGAGUAGUAAUUUAUAAAAUUGGUCUGUUCGACCAUUAAUUUC
RNAcentral lists this ribosomal RNA (506 nucleotides) under Protroctopsocus enigmaticus. Its description in RNAcentral is "partial 16S ribosomal RNA". It matches the Rfam family "Bacterial large subunit ribosomal RNA", at positions 1830 to 2595 of the family's 2925-position model. Lineage: Eukaryota; Metazoa; Arthropoda; Insecta; Psocodea; Protroctopsocidae. The record is from RNAcentral.